UUUAGGUAAAUAAUUAUUUAUUGUAACAUAACAAUUAAAUUUAAUAAUAACUAACAAUAAUAAAACAUUGUUUAACAUCAUGUGUUCAUGAUUUUGUGUGGGCGAAUCUUUAAGUGAUAAAUGUAGCAGUGUCAUGAUUGUUGAGUGAUAAAUGAUACCCAAUAUUACAGGAUAAAUACAGAAUAAAGGCAUAUUUUAUACAGAC
Molecule: long non-coding RNA, 205 nt
Filed under: Mytilus galloprovincialis (Mediterranean mussel)
Lineage: Eukaryota; Metazoa; Mollusca; Bivalvia; Mytilida; Mytilidae
Source: RNAcentral